CCGAUCUCCCCCGACCCCGUGCCCUAACCCAUGCGACACCGGCGAUUUCCUUUUCCCUUCCUCUCCAUUCCGAUCCUCUCCAAUGUGCAGCGCCGACGACCGGCCAUUUCCCUCUGCCCUAGCUUGCACUCGACUCUUCUCUUCGUCUUCUUCAUCGGGUCGGCCACACAACCGACGCCGUGGUGGCCUAGAUCUGCAGCGCGCCGACCGCCGCCUUGUUCGUUGCUUGAGCAGCCAACUAUCACCGGGGAUUCUCCUCACUGUGCCCUAGUUCUUCCUCUGCGCGCCAUUGCCGACCGCCUCCUCUUGGCCUUGACCAUGCCGGCGCCGAGCAAGUUGAGUCUCUUCUCCUCAAGUUUUUCUUGGGUUCGUGGCUCAGAUCCCUGGUGACGAUUUCCCCGAUUUGCCGCGAGCCACAAUGUAGAGCCACUUCUAGUAGCAAGCAGCCAAGCUUGCUGUUGUGCCCUAGACUUCCUCUUGCUGCCGAAUCCGAACCAAGGCAGCAGCGACUUCAUCAGGGAGGUGCCACGGGUUUUGAUUCUUUGGUGCCAUGGUUGUUUUCGUGAGGCCAUAUUAGCGACAUUGCAGCCGGUUUCAACCCUAGGUCCCAACGCUGUCUUUGCCGUCGACGAACUUCCUGUUUCUCUGUGCCCUAGCUUCGAUCAAAGCAGUAGUGAUUUGGCAAUGUGACAGCCAGAGGGUUGCAGGUUCGAUCAGUAGCAUUACUGCUCUACUGAUUUCGGGCUGGCAAGUGUUGUGGGGUUGAUCUUGAUCUGUUGGGUAGGAAGGAUUCCAACCAAGUGUGGUGCGUUAUGGGAAAAAACUGCAGCAAGGAGAUCUUGUUGUGGUAUACUUUGUUUUCAGCAGCAAUCAGCUCACCUUGUUCUGUGUUCAACAGCAGUUGAGCUUGAGGACUUUGACGCGAGACGAGCAUCUCGAUGUCGGAUUGGACCGGAUACGAUACUCUUAUCG
Long non-coding RNA from Zingiber officinale, 972 nucleotides. RefSeq lists it as uncharacterized. The record is from RefSeq and is a predicted model, not a curated record. The transcript is spliced from 3 exons. NCBI's taxonomy places the organism in Eukaryota, Viridiplantae, Streptophyta, Magnoliopsida, Zingiberales, Zingiberaceae.